This 253-nucleotide ribosomal RNA is filed under the name uncultured bacterium. RNAcentral describes it as "partial 16S ribosomal RNA". It matches the Rfam family "Bacterial small subunit ribosomal RNA", at positions 524 to 776 of the family's 1533-position model. The record is from RNAcentral.
GACAGAGGUCCCGAGCGUUAGGCGGAAUCACUGGGCUUAAAGCGUGUGUAGGCGGAUCUGUAAGUACCUUGUGAAAUCCCACGGCUUAACCGUGGAACUGCUUGGUAUACUGCGGAUCUUGAGCCACCUAGGGGCUACUGGAACAAACGGUGGAGCGGUGAAAUGCGUAGAUAUCGUUUGGAACGCCAAUGGUGAAAACAAGUAGCUGGGGGUGUGCUGACGCUGAGACACGAAAGCCAGGGGAGCGAACGGG